RNAcentral lists this ribosomal RNA (253 nucleotides) under uncultured bacterium. RNAcentral's name for it is "partial 16S ribosomal RNA". It matches the Rfam family "Bacterial small subunit ribosomal RNA", at positions 524 to 776 of the family's 1533-position model. The record is from RNAcentral.
UACGGAGGGAGCUAGCGUUGUUCGGAAUUACUGGGCGUAAAGCGCACGUAGGCGGACUUUUAAGUCAGGUGUGAAAUCCCAAGGCUCAACCUUGGAACUGCAUUUGAAACUGGGAGUCUUGAGACCAGGAGAGGUUAGCGGAAUACCGAGUGUAGAGGUGAAAUUCGUAGAUAUUCGGUGGAACACCAGUGGCGAAGGCGGCUAACUGGACUGGUACUAACGCUGAGGUGCGAAAGUGUGGGGAGCAAACAGG